RNAcentral lists this ribosomal RNA (444 nucleotides) under uncultured bacterium. Its description in RNAcentral is "bacterial SSU rRNA". It matches the Rfam family "Bacterial small subunit ribosomal RNA", at positions 32 to 455 of the family's 1533-position model. The record is from RNAcentral.
AAUCAACGCUGGCGGCGUGCCUCAGACAUGCAAGUCGAACGCGAAAGGUUCCUUCGGGAACCGAGUAGAGUGGCGCACGGGUGAGUAACACGUAGGUAAUUUGCCUUUGGGUGGGGAAUAACAGCCGGAAACGGCUGCUAAUACCGCAUAAUGCAGCGGCUCGACAUCGAGACAGUUGUUAAAGCGGGGGAUCGCAAGACCUCGCGCCUAAAGAGAAGCCUGCGGCAGAUUAGCUAGUUGGUAGGGUAAUGGCCUACCAAGGCGACGAUCUGUAACCGGCCUGAGAGGGCGGUCGGUCACACUGACACUGACAUACGGGUCAGACUCCUACGGGAGGCAGCAGUCGGGAAUUUUGGGCAAUGGGCGAAAGCCUGACCCAGCAACGCCGCGUGAAGGAUGAAAUCCCUCGGGAUGUAAACUUCGCAAGAAUAGGAAGAAUAAAUG